CCUACGGGCGGCAGCAGUCGAGAAUCAUUCACAAUGGGGGAAACCCUGAUGGUGCGACGCCGCGUGGGGGAAUGAAGGUCUUCGGAUUGUAAACCCCUGUCAUGUGGGAGCAAAUUAAAAAGAUAGUACCACAAGAGGAAGAGACGGCUAACUCUGUGCCAGCAGCCGCGGGAAUACAGAGGUCUCAAGCGUGGUUCGGAAGCACUGGGCGUAAAGCGUGCGUAGGCUGUUUCGUAAGUCGUGUGUGAAAGGCGCGGGCUCAACCCGAGGACGGCACAUGAUACUGGGAGACUAGAGUAAUGGAGGGGGAACCGGAAUUCUCGGUGUAGCAGUGAAAUGCGUAGAUAUCGAGAGGAACACUCGUGGCGAAGGCGGGUUCCUGGACAUUAACUGACGCUGAGGCACGAAGGCCAGGGGAGCGAAAGGGAUUAGAUACCCGAGUAGUC
Molecule: ribosomal RNA, 446 nt
Filed under: uncultured bacterium
Lineage: Bacteria
Description: partial 16S ribosomal RNA
Rfam family: Bacterial small subunit ribosomal RNA
Source: RNAcentral